RNAcentral lists this ribosomal RNA (253 nucleotides) under uncultured bacterium. Its description in RNAcentral is "partial 16S ribosomal RNA". It matches the Rfam family "Bacterial small subunit ribosomal RNA", at positions 524 to 776 of the family's 1533-position model. The record is from RNAcentral.
UACGGAGGGUGCGAGCGUUGUUCGGAAUUACUGGGCGUAAAGGGCGCGUAGGCGGCCUGUUGCGUCAGGUGUGAAAGCCCCGGGCUCAACCUGGGAUGUGCACUUGAUACGGGCGGGCUGGAAUCCGGGAGAGGAUGGUGGAAUUCCCAGUGUAGAGGUGAAAUUCGUAGAUAUUGGGAAGAACACCGAUGGCGAAGGCAGCCAUCUGGACCGGCAUUGACGCUGAGGCGCGAAAGCGUGGGGAGCAAACAGG